RNAcentral lists this ribosomal RNA (707 nucleotides) under uncultured bacterium. RNAcentral's name for it is "bacterial SSU rRNA". It matches the Rfam family "Bacterial small subunit ribosomal RNA", at positions 8 to 719 of the family's 1533-position model. The record is from RNAcentral.
AGAGUUUGAUCCAUGGCUCAGAACGAACGCUGGCGGCGUGCCUCAGACAUGCAAGUCGAACGAUUAAAGCUCUCUUCGGAGAGUGUAUAAAGUGGCGCACGGGUGAGUAACACGUAAGUAAUCUACCCUCGGGUGGGGAAUAACAUUCGGAAACGAAUGCUAAUACCGCAUAAUGCAGCGGCUCCUAAUGGAGACAGUUGUUAAAGGAUUUAUUCGCCUGAGGAGGAGCUUGCGGCAGAUUAGCUAGUUGGUAAGGUAAUGGCUUACCAAGGGCUACGAUCUGUAGCCGGUCUAAGAGGACGGUCGGUCACACUGACACUGAAUAACGGGUCAGACUCCUACGGGAGGCAGCAGUCGGGAAUUUUGGGCAAUGGGCGAAAGCCUGACCCAGCAACGCCGCGUGAAGGAUGAAGUAUUUCGGUAUGUAAACUUCGAAAGAAUANGAAGAAUUAAUGACGGUACUAUUUAUAAGGUCCGGCUAACUACNUGCCAGGCAGCCGCGGUAAUACGUAGGGACCAAGCGUUGUUCGGAUUUACUGGGCGUAAAGGGGCGCGUAGGCGGCAUGGCAAGUCACUUGUGAAAUCUCCCGGGCUUAACUCGGAACGGCCANGUGAUACUGCCACGCUAGAGUGCAGAAANGGCAAUCGGAAUUCUUGCGUGUAGCGGUGAAAUGCGUANAUAUCCAAGACGGNCACCUGUAUGCGAA